GGUUGACCUCGGAUCAGGUAGGGAUACCCGCUGAACUUAAGCAUAUCAAUAAGCGGAGGAAAAGAAACCAACCGGGAUUGCCUCAGUAACGGCGAGUGAAGCGGCAAGAGCUCAAAUUUGAAAGCUGGCUCCUUCGGAGUCCGCAUUGUAAUUUGCAGAGGAUGCUUUGGGUGCGGCCCCCGUCUAAGUGCCCUGGAACGGGCCGUCAGAGAGGGUGAGAA
RNAcentral lists this ribosomal RNA (221 nucleotides) under Aspergillus neoniger. Its description in RNAcentral is "partial 28S ribosomal RNA". It matches the Rfam family "Eukaryotic large subunit ribosomal RNA", at positions 1 to 218 of the family's 3401-position model. The record is from RNAcentral. Lineage: Eukaryota; Fungi; Ascomycota; Eurotiomycetes; Eurotiales; Aspergillaceae.